This 73-nucleotide transfer RNA is filed under the name Olisthops cyanomelas (herring cale). RNAcentral describes it as "tRNA-Leu (UUR)". It matches the Rfam family "tRNA". From Rfam's summary of the family: Transfer RNA (tRNA) molecules are approximately 80 nucleotides in length. Their secondary structure includes four short double-helical elements and three loops (D, anti-codon, and T loops). The record is from RNAcentral. Lineage: Eukaryota; Metazoa; Chordata; Actinopteri; Labriformes; Odacidae.
GUUGGGGUGGCAGAGCCCGGUAAAGUGCAAAAGAUUUAAGCCCUUUCCACGGGGGUUCAAAUCCUCCCCUAAC